CCUACGGGUGGCAGCAGUGGGGGAUAUUGCACAAUGGGGGAAACCCUGAUGCCGCGACGCCGCGUGUGGGAAGACGGUCCUCUGGAUUGUAAACCACUGUCCCCAGGGACGAAAAUGACGGUCCCUGGGGAGGAAGCUCCGGCUAACUACGUGCCAGCCGCCGCGGUAAUAUGUAGGGAGCGAGCGUUGUCCGGAUUUACUGGGUGUAAAGGGAGCGUAGGCGGGGAUGCAAGUUGGGGGUCAAAACUACCGGCUCAACUGGGAGUCGCACUCAAAACUGCAGCUUUUGAGUGAAGUAGAGGCAGGCGGAAUUCCGAGUGUAGCGGUGAAAUGCGUAGAUAUUAGGAGGAACACCAGUGGCGAAGGCGGCCUGCUGGGCUUUUACUGACGCUGAGGCUCGAAAGUGUGGGGAGCAAACAGGAUUAGAUACCCGUGUAGUC
This 440-nucleotide ribosomal RNA is filed under the name uncultured bacterium. RNAcentral describes it as "partial 16S ribosomal RNA". It matches the Rfam family "Bacterial small subunit ribosomal RNA", at positions 338 to 795 of the family's 1533-position model. The record is from RNAcentral.